Molecule: ribosomal RNA, 653 nt
Filed under: uncultured fungus
Lineage: Eukaryota; Fungi
Description: LSU rRNA
Rfam family: Eukaryotic large subunit ribosomal RNA
Source: RNAcentral
ACCCGCUGAACUUAAGCAUAUCAAUAAGCGGAGGAAAAGAAACUAACAAGGAUUCCCCUAGUAACGGCGAGUGAAGCGGGAAGAGCUCAAAUUUGAAAUCUGGUAGCCUUCGGUUGCCCGAGUUGUAAUCUAGAGAAGUGUUUUCCGUGCCGGCCCAUGUACAAGUCCCUUGGAACAGGGCGUCAUAGAGGGUGAGAAUCCCGUCCUUGACAUGGACCCCCGGUGCUUUGUGAUACACUUUCAACGAGUCGAGUUGUUUGGGAAUGCAGCUCAAAAUGGGUGGUGAAUUCCAUCUAAAGCUAAAUAUUGGCGAGAGACCGAUAGCGAACAAGUACCGUGAGGGAAAGAUGAAAAGCACUUUGGAAAGAGAGUUAAACAGUACGUGAAAUUGUUGAAAGGGAAACGAUUGAAGUCAGUCAUGCUCUUAGGAUUCAGCCGUUCUGCGGUGUAUUUCCUUUGAGUGGGGUCAACAUCAGUUUUGAUCGAUGGAUAAAGGCACGAGGAAGGUAGCACUCUCGGGUGAACUUAUAGCCUCGCGUCAUAUACAUUGAUUGGGACUGAGGAACGCAGCAUGCCUUUAUGGCCGGGAUUCGUCCACGUACAUGCUUAGGAUGUUGACAUAAUGGCUUUAAACGACCCGUCUUGAAACACGG